AGAAUCAACGCUGGCGGCGUGCCUAACACAUGCAAGUCGAGCGGGAAAGGGGGCUUCGGCCCCUGAGUAUAGCGGCGGACGGGUGAGUAACACGUGGGUAAUUUGCCCUUGGGUGUGGAAUAACUCAGGGAAACUUGAGCUAAUACCGCAUGACAUCCCCUUCACACACGAGUCGGGGAUCAAAGCCGGGGACCCUUCGGGGCCUGGCGCCUGAGGAGAAGCCCGCGCCCGAUUAGCUAGUUGGUGAGGUAAUGGCUCACCAAGGCUUCGAUCGGUAGCCGGCCUGAGAGGGCGGACGGCCACACUGGGACUGAGACACGGCCCAGACUCCUACGGGAGGCAGCAGUGGGGAAUUUUUGUCAAUGGGGGAAACCCUGAACAAGCAACGCCGCGUGGAGGACGACGACCUUCGGGUUGUAAACUCCUGUCGGAGGGGACGAAAGCGGUCGAGGCUAAUAUCCUCGGCUGUUGACGGUACCCUACGAGGAAGCCCCGGCUAACUCCGUGCCAGCAGCCGCGGUAAUACGGGGGGGGCAAGCGUUGUUCGGAAUUACUGGGCGUAAAGGGCGCGUAGGCGGGCGGGCAAGUCUCUCGUGAAAUCCCACGGCUCAACCGUGGAACUGCGGGAGAUACUGCCUGUCUUGAGUCCGGGAGAGGAGGGUGGAAUUCCCAGUGUAGCGGUGAAAUGCGUAGAUAUUGGGAGGAACACCGGUGGCGAAGGCGGCUCUCUGGACCGGUACUGACGCUGAGGCGCGAAAGCUAGGGGAGCAAACGGGAUUAGAUACCCCGGUAGUCCUAGCCGUAAACGAUGAGCACUUGGUGUGGCGGGUAUCGACCCCCGCCGUGCCGAAGCUAACGCAUUAAGUGCUCC
RNAcentral lists this ribosomal RNA (871 nucleotides) under uncultured bacterium. Its description in RNAcentral is "bacterial SSU rRNA". It matches the Rfam family "Bacterial small subunit ribosomal RNA", at positions 26 to 870 of the family's 1533-position model. The record is from RNAcentral.